UAAGGAAUAUUGGGCAAUGGACGCAAGUCUGACCCAGCCAUGCCGCGUGAAGGAUGACGGCCCUAUGGGUUGUAAACUUCUUUUGUACGGGAAUAAACCUUCGGUCGUGACCGGAGCUGAAUGUACCGUAAGAAUAAGGAUCGGCUAACUCCGUGCCAGCAGCCGCGGUAAUACGGAGGAUCCAAGCGUUAUCCGGAUUCAUUGGGUUUAAAGGGUGCGUAGGCGGAUUUGUAAGUCAGUGGUGAAAUCCUGCAGCUUAACUGUAGAACUGCCAUUGAUACUGCAAGUCUUGAGUACAUUUGAUGUGGGCGGAAUGUGUCAUGUAGCGGUGAAAUGCUUAGAUAUGACACAGAACACCGAUUGCGAAGGCAGCUCACAAAACUGUAACUGACGCUGAGGC
RNAcentral lists this ribosomal RNA (400 nucleotides) under uncultured bacterium. RNAcentral describes it as "bacterial SSU rRNA". It matches the Rfam family "Bacterial small subunit ribosomal RNA", at positions 355 to 752 of the family's 1533-position model. The record is from RNAcentral.